Notolabrus celidotus (New Zealand spotty) is the source of this 163-nucleotide long non-coding RNA. RefSeq lists it as uncharacterized. The transcript has 4 exons. The record is from RefSeq and is a predicted model, not a curated record. NCBI's taxonomy places the organism in Eukaryota, Metazoa, Chordata, Actinopteri, Labriformes, Labridae.
UGAAAAUCCUUUUCAAUAUGGCGGAUCGUCUCGGAUGGAGUCUUCAAGUGGAGUAAUUUGCUGAAGUGGAAGCUAAGAAGUGUGCAUCAGGAAUCAAGAUUCAUCUGAUGCAUCAGAGAUCAUCUUUUAUCACAUUUGCUCUGUGGGAGAACCCUUUUUAUUG